Molecule: ribosomal RNA, 552 nt
Filed under: uncultured ciliate
Lineage: Eukaryota; Ciliophora
Description: SSU rRNA
Rfam family: Eukaryotic small subunit ribosomal RNA
Source: RNAcentral
CUGGUUGAUCCUGCCAGUAGUCAUAUGCUUGUCUCAAAGACUAAGCCAUGCAUGUCUAAGUAUAAAUGAUAUACAGUGAAACUGCGAAUGGCUCAUUAAAACAGUUAUAGUUUAUUUGGUAAUCGAAUUUACAUGGAUAACCGUGGUAAUUCUAGAGCUAAUACAUGCUGUAAAGCCCGACUUCACGGAAGGGCCGUAUUUAUUAGAUAACAGACCAAUAUUCCUCGUGUCUAUUGUGGUGAAUCAUAGUAACUAAUCGGAUCGCAUGGGCUAGUCCCGCGACAAACCAUUCAAGUUUCUGCCCCAUCAGCUUUCGAUGGUAGUGUAUUGGACUACCAUGGCUUUUAUGGGUAACGGAGGAUUAGGGUUCGAUUCCGGAGAGGGAGCCUGAGAAACGGCUACCACAUCUAAGGAAGGCAGCAGGCGCGUAAAUUACCCAAUCCUAAUUCAGGGAGGUAGUGACAAGAAAUAACGGGUCGGGGCUAUGCCCCGGGACUGCAAUGAGAUGAAUUUACACCCCUUCUCGAGUAACAAUUGGAGGGCAAGUCUGGU